Molecule: ribosomal RNA, 181 nt
Filed under: Gammarus tigrinus
Lineage: Eukaryota; Metazoa; Arthropoda; Malacostraca; Amphipoda; Gammaridae
Description: partial 18S ribosomal RNA
Rfam family: Eukaryotic small subunit ribosomal RNA
Source: RNAcentral
UCACACCGCCCGUCGCUACUACCGAUUGGGUGUACCAGUGAGAGCCUUGGACUGGCGUCCGUUGUUGCUCGCAAGAGUGACAAGCGGGUCCGACGGAAAGAGGUCCGAACUGGUGCACUUAGAGGAAGUAAAAGUCGUAACAAGGUUUCCGUAGGUGAACCUGCGGAAGGAUCAUUAAAAG